AGUAAUGCACUUGGCGUGAUUCGCACCUCUAACCUUCAAACGACGCUUGCAGGGUGUCCAGGAGCAUGAAUUAGAACGCAUUACUUAUCCGUGUUUUCGGGCAAUCGUGAGGUGAGGAAGGGUCGCGUGUAGUGCUUCUCUUGCCCGGGACGACGUAGCGAAUUGAGUGACAGGUACAUCGUCAGUUGAGCGAGGUAAGGGGAUUGCGCCUAGUUAGCCAUCCUACCAGUAUACUUACUUGUAGCGGACUCCUAGAUAGUGAGCUACCGUACUCUCUUUUGGACUGGCGCGGGCCAGGGCCAUUUGCUUGUACUUGAUUUUGGGCGUGGAGUUGUGUAUCUUGUUACUAAUUUCUUGUUGUUCGGUGGUUUAGCUUAUG
Ananas comosus (pineapple) is the source of this 379-nucleotide long non-coding RNA. RefSeq lists it as uncharacterized. The transcript has 3 exons. The record is from RefSeq and is a predicted model, not a curated record. NCBI's taxonomy places the organism in Eukaryota, Viridiplantae, Streptophyta, Magnoliopsida, Poales, Bromeliaceae.